This 845-nucleotide ribosomal RNA is filed under the name uncultured Actinomycetes bacterium. RNAcentral's name for it is "bacterial SSU rRNA". It matches the Rfam family "Bacterial small subunit ribosomal RNA", at positions 515 to 1359 of the family's 1533-position model. Lineage: Bacteria; Bacillati; Actinomycetota; Actinomycetes. The record is from RNAcentral.
CCGCGGUAACACGUAGGGGGCAAGCGUUGUCCGGAUUUAUUGGGCGUAAAGAGCUCGUAGGCGGCUCGAUAAGUCGGGUGUCAAAUCCUCAGGCUCAACCUGGGGCACCACCCGAUACUGUCGUGGCUAGAGUCCGGUAGGGGAGCGUGGAAUUCCUGGUGUAGCGGUGAAAUGCGCAGAUAUCAGGAGGAACACCAGCGGCGAAGGCGGCGCUCUGGGCCGGAACUGACGCUGAGGAGCGAAAGCGUGGGUAGCAAACAGGAUUAGAUACCCUGGUAGUCCACGCCGUAAACGUUGGGCACUAGGUGUGGGGUCUUUUCAACGGAUUCCGUGCCGUCGCUAACGCAUUAAGUGCCCCGCCUGGGGAGUACGGCCGCAAGGCUAAAACUCAAAGGAAUUGACGGGGGCCCGCACAAGCAGCGGAGCAUGUUGCUUAAUUCGAGGCAACGCGAAGAACCUUACCUGGGUUUGACAUGUAGAGAAAAGCCACAGAGAUGUGGUGUCCUUCGGGGUUCUACACAGGUGGUGCAUGGUUGUCGUCAGCUCGUGUCGUGAGAUGUUGGGUUAAGUCCCGCAACGAGCGCAACCCUUGUCCUAUGUUGCCAGCGGAUAAUGCCGGGGACUCGUAGGAGACUGCCGGGGUCAACUCGGAGGAAGGUGGGGAUGACGUCAAAUCAUCAUGCCCCUUAUAUCCAGGGCUGCAAACAUGCUACAAUGGCCGGUACAAAGGGCUGCGAUACCGCGAGGUGGAGCGAAUCCCAUAAAGCCGGUCUCAGUUCGGAUUGGAGUCUGCAACUCGACUCCAUGAAGCUGGAGUUGCUAGUAAUCCCGGAUCAGCAACGCCG